Molecule: ribosomal RNA, 478 nt
Filed under: uncultured bacterium
Lineage: Bacteria
Description: partial 16S ribosomal RNA
Rfam family: Bacterial small subunit ribosomal RNA
Source: RNAcentral
GACGAACGCUGGCGGCGUGCUUAAUACAUGCAAGUUGAACGCGAAUGUUGUGUAAAUUUUUUCGGUGAAUGAAAAGAAAAGAAAUGGGUAAAGGGGGGGGUAACACCCGUUCAGCCGACCUUAACAAGGGGGAACGACUGCGGAAACGACAUAAAAUCUCUCAAGAGACCAUAGAAGCGUAAGAUAUAGAGGUCAACGAUUUAUCGGUGAAAGAAGGGCUUGCGUCUGAGUAGCUAGGUGGAAGGGUAAACGCCUACCAAGGCGACGCUCAGCAGCCGGGGUGAGGGGAUGGCCCGCACCAUUGGAACUGGCACACGGUCCGAACUCCCACGGGAGGCCGCAGGUGGGAAUAUUGCACGAUGGGGGGAACCCUGAUGCAGCGACGCCGCGUGAGCGAAGAAGGUUUUAGAAUCGUAAAGCUCUGUCCUAUGAGAAGAUAAUGACGGUAUCAUAGGAGGAAGCCCCGGCUAACUACGUG